Molecule: long non-coding RNA, 889 nt
Organism: Amphimedon queenslandica
Lineage: Eukaryota; Metazoa; Porifera; Demospongiae; Haplosclerida; Niphatidae
Exons: 3
Source: RefSeq, a predicted model, not a curated record
UGACAGAUCUGACUAAUGUUUUUAUCAUUUGAGGUUGUUUCCAGAAUAAUGUUACGUUGUUUAGUUCUUACUAUUUUUUCUUCUUUUCUCAGUUUUAUAGCAUAGUCUAUACCAGGACUGACCAAUCAUUUUCAGUGUUCGUCUUAAAGUUUGGUUUUAAGAUGUUUUAUGUACUACUCUUUUCUCAAGACUUGUUUCUUCCUGUCUUAGUUUCAUCAAAACUAGAAGUGACUGAUCAGACUAAGUUAUUAUUUGAGUUUCGUAGUACAGUCUAUACCAGGAGGGACUGAUUAGACUCAAUUUCACCAUUUAAGUCUGUUUUCAAAUGUUUUAUGCUCUCAUUUAGUAGUAUUUGCUCUGUUCUGUUUUCUCAGUUUUAUAGUAUAGUGUAAACACUAAAAGUGACAUGAAAUUGAGUUCUUAAAAUCCGAGGUUAAUUCUGAAAUAAUUUUUUAGUUUGUACGAAUUAUUUUUUGAUCUUAGUUUCAUAGUAUUGUUUCACUUACCAGAAGUGACCAGACUGAUUUAUCAAUUAGAAUUUGCUUUAAAAGAUGCUUACUAUUACUUUUUUCUUCAGUUUCAUAGUAUAGUUUAAAUUAACAAAAAUGACAAAACAGACUGAGUUUUGCAACAUCUGAGGUUGUUUAAAAUAUAUUGUUUUUCUUAAGUCUUACAUUUCUUUCUCAGUUUUAUGGUAUAUUUUCUACCAAAAGUGACUGAUCAAACUCUGUCAUUUGGGUUUGGUUUUAGAAAGUUUUAUGUAUUAGUCUUAUCUCAGUAUUUAGUAAUUUGCUGAGAUUGAUAUAGUUUAAUAUACCACAAGUGACUUAUCAGACUGAGUUAUCAUUUAAGUUUGAUAGCAUAGUUUAUACCAAGAGACUGGUUAGAC